RNAcentral lists this ribosomal RNA (541 nucleotides) under uncultured organism. RNAcentral's name for it is "bacterial SSU rRNA". It matches the Rfam family "Bacterial small subunit ribosomal RNA", at positions 924 to 1476 of the family's 1533-position model. The record is from RNAcentral.
CACAAGCGGAGGUACAUGUGUUUUAAUUUGAUGAUACGCGAGGAACCGUACCUGGGCUUAAAUGUAGAGUGCAUAAAGUGGAUACAUUUUUUUCCUUCGGGACUCUGUACAAGGUGCUGCAUGGUUGUCGUCAGCUCGUGCCGUGAGGUGUCGGGUUAAGUCCCAUAACGAGCGCAACCCCUAUCGUUAGUUACCAGCACGUAUUGGUGGGGACUCUAGCGAAACUGCCGGUGUAAACCGUGAGGAAGGUGGGGAUGACGUCAAAUCAGCACGGUCCUUAUGUCCAGGGCUACACACGUGUUACAAUGGUCGGUACAGUGGGCAGCCACAUAGCAAUAUGGAGCUAAUCUCAAAAGCCGAUCUCAGUUCGGAUUGGAGUCUGCAACCCGACUCCAUGAAGGUGGAUUCGCUAGUAAUCGCGCAUCAGCCAUGGCGCGGUGAUACGUUCCCGGGCCUUGUACACACCGCCCGUCAAGCCAUGGAAGUUUGGGGUGCCUGAAGUUCGUAACCGCAAGGAGCGACCUAGGGUAAACAAAUGACU